ACCACUUCUCAGCCUUUUGGCUAAGAUCAAGUGUACUGUCUGUUCUUAUCAGUUUAAUAAUGGAUCAUUGCAGUGUUUCCUACUGAGUGCAAAGACAGUCUUGGGAUCUUUCUUAACACAG
RNAcentral lists this small nuclear RNA (121 nucleotides) under Pan troglodytes (chimpanzee). It matches the Rfam family "U2 spliceosomal RNA". Rfam says of the family: U2 is a small nuclear RNA (snRNA) component of the spliceosome (involved in pre-mRNA splicing). Lineage: Eukaryota; Metazoa; Chordata; Mammalia; Primates; Hominidae. The record is from RNAcentral.